RNAcentral lists this ribosomal RNA (451 nucleotides) under uncultured bacterium. RNAcentral's name for it is "partial 16S ribosomal RNA". It matches the Rfam family "Bacterial small subunit ribosomal RNA", at positions 329 to 794 of the family's 1533-position model. The record is from RNAcentral.
UGCCAGACUCCUACGGGAGGCAGCAGUGGGGAAUAUUGGGCAAUGGGCGCAAGCCUGACCCAGCAACGCCGCGUGAAGGAAGAAGGCUUUCGGGUUGUAAACUUCUUUUCUCAGGGACGAAGCAAGUGACGGUGCCUGAGGAAUAAGCCACGGCUAACUACGUGCCAGCAGCCGCGGUAAUACGUAGGUGGCAAGCGUUGUCCGGAUUUACUGGGUGUAAAGGGCGUGCAGCCGGGCUGACAAGUCAGAUGUGAAAUCCCGCGGCCCAACCGCGGAACUGCAUUUGAAACUGUCAGUCUUGAGUACCGGAGGGGUCAUCGGAAUUCCUUGUGGAGCGGUGAAAUGCGUAGAUAUAAGGAAGAACACCAGUGGCGAAGGCGGAUGACUGGACGGCAACUGACGGUGAGGCGCGAAAGCGUGGGGAGCAAACAGGAUUAGAUACCCCCGUAAA